Molecule: ribosomal RNA, 460 nt
Filed under: uncultured bacterium
Lineage: Bacteria
Description: partial 16S ribosomal RNA
Rfam family: Bacterial small subunit ribosomal RNA
Source: RNAcentral
CUACGGGCGGCAGCAGUUUCGAAUAAUUCACAAUGGGCGCAAGCCUGAUGAUGCGACGUUACGUGAAGGAAGAAAGCUUUAAGUUGUAAACUUCUGUCGUUAAGGAACAAAAAAUUAAGUAGUACUUUUUAUAUUGAGUUAACUUAAAAAGGAAGCAGUGGCUAAUUUCGUGCCAGCAGCCGCGGUAAUACGGGAACUGCAAGCGUUGCUCGGUUUUAUUGGGCGUAAAGAGUACGUAGGCUGUUAUAUAUGUUAAUUGUUAAAUUUUAAAGUUAAUCUUUAAAUUUGCUGUUAAAACUAUAUAACUAGAAUUUCAAAGAGGUAAGUGGAAUUUCAAGUGUAGCGGUGAAAUGCGUAGAUAUUUGAAGGAACACCAAUGGCGAAAGCAACUUACUGGGUGAUAAUUGACGCUAAAGUACGAAAGUAUAGGGAGCAAAAGGGAUUAGAUACCCCCGUAGUC